RNAcentral lists this ribosomal RNA (478 nucleotides) under Acrapex yakoba. Its description in RNAcentral is "partial 16S large subunit ribosomal RNA". Lineage: Eukaryota; Metazoa; Arthropoda; Insecta; Lepidoptera; Noctuidae. The record is from RNAcentral.
UGUCUUUUUGAAAAUAAUAUAAAGUCUAAUCUGCCCACUGAUUAAAUAAUUAAAGGGCUGCAGUAUAUUGACUGUACAAAGGUAGCAUAAUCAUUAGUCAUUUAAUUGAUGACUUGUAUGAAGGAUUUGAUGAAAUAUAAACUGUCUCUUAUUUAAUUAUAAAAUUUAAUUUUUUUAUUAAAAAGUUAAAAUAUUUUAAAAAGACGAGAAGACCCUAUAGAGUUUAAUAAAUUAUUAGAUUGAGAUUAUAUGUAAAUAAAUUUAAAAUUAAAUUAUUUAUUUUGUUGGGGUGACAAAAAAAUACAUUAAACUUUUUUUUUUAUUUAAAACAUUUAUAAGUGAUUAAGUGAUCCAAUAAUAUUGAUUAUAAGAAAAAAUUACCUUAGGGAUAACAGCGUAAUUUUUUUUUUUAGUUCAAAUAAGAAAAAGAGUUUGCGACCUCGAUGUUGGAUUAAGAUAAAAUUUAAAUGUAGAAGUU